ACGGUGAGGGAUGAAAGCUGGGGGAGCAAACCGGAUUAGAUACCCGGGUAGUCCCAGCUGUAAACUAUGCAAACUCAGUGAUGCAUUGGCUUGUGGCCAAUGCAGUGCUGCAGGGAAGCCGUUAAGUUUGCCGCCUGGGAAGUACGUACGCAAGUAUGAAACUUAAAGGAAUUGGCGGGGGAGCACCACAAGGGGUGAAGCCUGCGGUUCAAUUGGAGUCAACGCCA
Molecule: ribosomal RNA, 227 nt
Filed under: uncultured crenarchaeote
Lineage: Archaea; Thermoproteati; Thermoproteota
Description: partial 16S ribosomal RNA
Rfam family: Archaeal small subunit ribosomal RNA
Source: RNAcentral